CGCUGAAGCACCAGCUUGCUGGUGUGGAUGAGUGGCGAACGGGUGAGUAAUACGUGAGUAACCUGCCCUUGACUCUGGGAUAAGCCCGGGAAACUGGGUCUAAUACUGGAUGCUACAUGUCACCGCAUGGUGGUGUGUGGAAAGGGUUUACUGGUCUUGGAUGGGCUCACGGCCUAUCAGCUUGUUGGUGAGGUAAUGGCUCACCAAGGCGACGACGGGUAGCCGGCCUGAGAGGGUGACCGGCCACACUGGGACUGAGACACGGCCCAGACUCCUACGGGAGGCAGCAGUGGGGAAUAUUGCACAAUGGGCGAAAGCCUGAUGCAGCGACGCCGCGUGAGGGAUGACGGCCUUCGGGUUGUAAACCUCUUUCAGCAGGGAAGAAGCCACAAGUGACGGUACCUGCAGAAGAAGCGCCGGCUAACUACGUGCCAGCAGCCGCGGUAAUACGUAGGGCGCAAGCGUUGUCCGGAAUUAUUGGGCGUAAAGAGCUCGUAGGCGGUUUGUCGCGUCUGCUGUGAAAGCCCGGGGCUUAACCCCGGGUGUGCAGUGGGUACGGGCAGACUAGAGUGCAGUAGGGGAGACUGGAAUUCCUGGUGUAGCGGUGGAAUGCGCAGAUAUCAGGAGGAACACCGAUGGCGAAGGCAGGUCUCUGGGCUGUUACUGACGCUGAGGAGCGAAAGCAUGGGGAGCGAACAGGAUUAGAUACCCUGGUAGUCCAUGCCGUAAACGUUGGGCACUAGGUGUGGGGGACAUUCCACGUUUUCCGCGCCGUAGCUAACGCAUUAAGUGCCCCGCCUGGGGAGUACGGCCGCAAGGCUAAAACUCAAAGGAAUUGACGGGGGCCCGCACAAGCGGCGGAGCAUGCGGAUUAAUUCGAUGCAACGCGAAGAACCUUACCAAGGCUUGACAUAUACCGGAUCGUUCCAGAGAUGGUUCUUCCCCUUUGGGGUCGGUAUACAGGUGGUGCAUGGUUGUCGUCAGCUCGUGUCGUGAGAUGUUGGGGUUAAGUCCCGCAACG
RNAcentral lists this ribosomal RNA (1021 nucleotides) under Kocuria palustris. Its description in RNAcentral is "bacterial SSU rRNA". It matches the Rfam family "Bacterial small subunit ribosomal RNA", at positions 65 to 1094 of the family's 1533-position model. Lineage: Bacteria; Bacillati; Actinomycetota; Actinomycetes; Micrococcales; Micrococcaceae. The record is from RNAcentral.